CCCUGCGGCCGAGCCUUGUUUGCUUCUAAAGCGGGUUUAAGGACUUUGAGGAGUCCGAGUGCGUGCUGCAGACACCGGGAGCGGCACAGAGCAGCACGUUACUCUCUCGCGGGGAAUCGGACACUGCGCUGGUCCUUCCUGACAAGUUUUGGAUAACCAGAGUCGGGCUCCCUGGAGUUUGUCAUCUAUAACAGAUUUCUUCUGGUCAAUAGCAGAUUUUGUGGUUCUGUUUUUCCAGAGCAUUAUUCAACCAGAUUUGAGAAGAAGAGGCUACACGUCUUCCUCCUAUUCAGGAUACCAUGAUGGAAGAGGGCCUCCAGCACAUCCUCGGCGUAGGAUGGGCCGAAUAAAUCACUGGGGUGGAGGCCCAAGUCCACCACCAAUGGCUGGAGGUGGAUGAGGAAGGUAAACGCCUGCUGAAGAGGCAGGCACAAGCAUACACAUCUACCAGAUGAAGAGUUAGUGGUGGACCAAAUGGGGAUGUGUAUGCCUGACUGGAAACUGUUCUGUGAUACAAGCAGGUUAAUGAAGUUGUACUGGGAACUCCUUCUUCAAGGAUCCGGUGUAACUGAACCACAGUUUCAUUAAAUACAUGUUUACUGUCUAAAGUCUUUGUAUAGUUUCUGAACAUUUUACUGUAGUUGCAAAGUACUAAGUAAAUUAUAUUUGGCUUGUCA
Molecule: non-coding RNA, 677 nt
Organism: Cyanistes caeruleus (blue tit)
Lineage: Eukaryota; Metazoa; Chordata; Aves; Passeriformes; Paridae
Source: RefSeq, a predicted model, not a curated record